UACGUAGGGGGCAAGCGUUGUCCGGAUUUAUUGGGCGUAAAGAGCGUGUAGGCGGCCAGGCAGGUCCGUUGUGAAAACUGGAGGCUCAACCUCCAGACGUCGAUGGAAACCGCUUGGCUAGAGUCCGGAAGAGGAGAGUGGAAUUCCUGGUGUAGCGGUGAAAUGCGCAGAUAUCAGGAAGAACACCGAUGGCGAAGGCAGCUCUCUGGGACGGUACUGACGCUGAGACGCGAAAGCGUGGGGAGCGAACAGG
Molecule: ribosomal RNA, 253 nt
Filed under: uncultured bacterium
Lineage: Bacteria
Description: partial 16S ribosomal RNA
Rfam family: Bacterial small subunit ribosomal RNA
Source: RNAcentral